RNAcentral lists this ribosomal RNA (425 nucleotides) under uncultured prokaryote. Its description in RNAcentral is "bacterial SSU rRNA". It matches the Rfam family "Bacterial small subunit ribosomal RNA", at positions 355 to 796 of the family's 1533-position model. The record is from RNAcentral.
UGGGGAAUUUUCCGCAAUGGGCGAAAGCCUGACGGAGCAAUACCGCGUGAGGGAAGAAUGCCUGUGGGUUGUAAACCUCUUUUUUCAGGGAAGAAAUUUGACGGUACCUGAUGAAUAAGCAUCGGCUAACUCCGUGCCAGCAGCCGCGGUAAUACGGGGGAUGCAAGCGUUAUCCGGAAUUACUGGGCGUAAAGCGUCUGUAGGUGGCUUGGUUAGUCUAUUGUUAAAUAUUAGGGCUUAACCCUGAGACAGCAUUAGAAACUUCUAAGCUAGAGUAUGGUAUGGGCAAAGGGAAUUCCCAGUGUAGCGGUGAAAUGCGUAGAUAUUGGGAAGAACACCAGUAGCGAAAGCGCUUUGCUUGGCCUCAGCUGACACUGAGAGACGAAAGCUAAGGUAGCGAAUGGGAUUAGAUACCCCCGUAGUCC